AAACCGCUUAGGGGUUAAGCCCGAUGAACCUGAAUAUCUGAAAUGAGAAAUUCAAUAUUAUGUUAUUUAUUUAACUAGUAUGCACUUUUCUCAUAGUAAGACAUUGCGAUCCAUUAGUAAUUUGAAUUUAUUAAACGGCCCGUAUGUACAGUUUAUUCUAUCUGUAAUGAUUUUUAAUUAUUAUAUGAGUAAAUACAUUGCGGUGUCCUAAUAAAUAGCUGAUGGAGCUUAAAAAUCAUACAAACAUACAUGUAUGUAUCACAAUUUAAUAAUAAUAUAUUAUUUUAUGUAGUGAUUGUAUGUAUUUGAUUAGCAAUGCGAUAGAUUUGGGAUACCUUCGGGACCCGUCUUGUAACACGGACCAAGAAGUCUAACAUGUGUGCAAGUCAUUGGGUAUUGUUUGUUGAAACCUAAAGGCAUAAUUAAAAUAACUAUUUUUAAUGGGAUUACAAGUGAUUUUUAUAUUAGAUUACUUCUCCAUCCCGGGGCGUUCUAUACGAACAUGAUUAAAGCAAUUUGAUCCUCUGUUCAAGAGCGUACCUUGAGCAUACAUGCUGUGACCCGAAAGAUGGUGAACUAUACCUGAUCAGGUUGAAGUCAGGGGAAACCCUGAUGGAGGACUGAAGCAGUUCUGACGUGCAAAUCGAUUGUCAGAAUUGGGUAUAGGGGCGAAAGACCAAUCGAACCAUCUAGUAGCUGGUUCCCUCCGAAGUUUCCCUCAGGAUAGCUGGUGCAAUGAUUAUUCUACAUAUAUAAUCUUAUCUGGUAAAGCGAAUGAUUAGAGGCCUUGGGGCCGAAACGACCUCAACCUAUUCUCAAACUUUAAAUGGGUAAGAACCUCAUCUUUCUUGAUCUGAAGAUAUAGAGGUUUAGAUAUAUUGUGCCCAGUGGGCCACUUUUGGUAAGCAGAACUGGCGCUGUGGGAUGAACCAAACGUGAUGUUACGGCGCCAAAAUUAAUGACUCAUAUUGAUACCAUGAAAGGCGUUGGUUGCUUAAAACAGCAGGACGGUGGACAUGGAAGUCGUAAUCCGCUAAGGAGUGUGUAACAACUCACCUGCCGAAGCAACUAGCCCUUAAAAUGGAUGGCGCUCAAGUCAUAUGCCUAUACAUCACCGCUAGAAUAAAAAAAUAUAUAUAUAAUUUAUUAUUAUAUAUUUAUCAAAUUCUAGUGAGUAGGAGGGUACAAUGGUGUGCGCAGAAGUGUUUGGCGUGAGCCUGCAUGGAGCCGCCAUUGGCACAGAUCUUGGUGGUAGUAGCAAAUAAUCGAAUGAGAUCUUGGAGGACUGAAGUGGAGAAGGGUUUCGUGUGAACAGUGGUUGAUCACGAGUUAGUCGGUCCUAAGCUCUAUGCGAAAGCUGUUUAAUUUAUGUU
This 1373-nucleotide ribosomal RNA is filed under the name Keroplatus testaceus. RNAcentral describes it as "partial 28S ribosomal RNA". It matches the Rfam family "Eukaryotic large subunit ribosomal RNA", at positions 402 to 1578 of the family's 3401-position model. The record is from RNAcentral. Lineage: Eukaryota; Metazoa; Arthropoda; Insecta; Diptera; Keroplatidae.